This 264-nucleotide ribosomal RNA is filed under the name uncultured bacterium. Its description in RNAcentral is "partial 16S ribosomal RNA". It matches the Rfam family "Bacterial small subunit ribosomal RNA", at positions 793 to 1055 of the family's 1533-position model. The record is from RNAcentral.
GUCCACGCCGUAAACGAUGAAUGCCAGCCGUUGGGUGCAUGCACUUCAGUGGCGCAGCUAACGCUUUAAGCAUUCCGCCUGGGGAGUACGGUCGCAAGAUUAAAACUCAAAGGAAUUGACGGGGCCCGCACAAGCGGUGGAGCAUGUGGUUUAAUUCGAAGCAACGCGCAGAACCUUACCAGCUUUUGACAUGUCCGGUUUGAGGAACAGAGAUGUACCUCUUCAGUUCGGCUGGCCGGAACACAGGUGCUGCAUGGCUGUCGU